UGUGAAGUGCCUGAUUAUAGGACAAUUUUGAUGAGAUUGAAAAAGUGAGUCUUUUCCCCCCCCNACCUUCACAA
Molecule: transfer RNA, 74 nt
Filed under: Phaedon armoraciae
Lineage: Eukaryota; Metazoa; Arthropoda; Insecta; Coleoptera; Chrysomelidae
Description: tRNA-Ile
Source: RNAcentral